AUUGAACGCUGGCGGUAUGCCUUACACAUGCAAGUCGAACGGUAACAGGUCUUCGGAUGCUGACGAGUGGCGAACGGGUGAGUAAUACAUCGGAACGUGCCUAGUAGUGGGGGAUAACUACUCGAAAGAGUGGCUAAUACCGCAUGAGAUCUACGGAUGAAAGCAGGGGAUCGCACGACCUUGUGCUACUAGAGCGGCCGAUGGCAGAGUAGGUAGUUGGUGGGAUAAAAGCUUACCAAGCCGACGAUCUGUAGCUGGUCUGAGAGGACGAGCAGCCACACUGGGACUGAGACACGGCCCAGACUCCUACGGGAGGCAGCAGUGGGGAAUUUUGGACAAUGGGCGAAAGCCUGAUCCAGCAAUGCCGCGUGCAGGAUGAAGGCCUUCGGGUUGUAAACUGCUUUUGUACGGAACGAAAAGCCCUGGGUUAAUACCCUGGGGUCAUGACGGUACCGUAAGAAUAAGCACCGGCUAACUACGUGCCAGCCGCCGCAGUAA
This 498-nucleotide ribosomal RNA is filed under the name uncultured bacterium. Its description in RNAcentral is "partial 16S ribosomal RNA". It matches the Rfam family "Bacterial small subunit ribosomal RNA", at positions 30 to 523 of the family's 1533-position model. The record is from RNAcentral.